AAAAACAUAUUCCUCUCUUCUGUAAAAAUCCCUAAUCCGAAAUUCGCUGGAUUCAUAAUCCAAAUCCAAACAUCAUUGAAUCUUCCGCCCUCUUUUCCGUUUUUCGUCACAAAAAUGUCCUCCAGCGGCGUCACGGUGGCGGAAGGCGGCCCUCAGAUGUUCUUCUGCCACCAAUGCGAGCGCACCGUCACCAUCACCCCCUCCCCCGCCGGCGACAUCCUCUGCCCCUCCUGCAACUCCGGCUUCGUCGAAGAAUUCCAAAACCCUAACCCUACCCCCGCCCCGGACCCCUUCCUCUCCGAUCCCCUCUCCCUCUUCCUCUCCCAAUUCCUCCCUUCCGCAACAACAACAAACCCUAGCCCUCUCUCCCGCCCGCCUAGGGCCGCCCCUGAGUCCUCCUUCGGCCAGGAUGCCUUCGACCCGGUUCUCUACCUCAUGAACCUCCUCGCCAAUCGCCGCGCCAGCGGCAUUGACUAUCAGUUCGUCUUCGACGACCAUCCGUCGCCUGCUUCCGGAUUCCCUCUCUCCACGAACCUCGGAGACUAUUUCAUGGGCCCUGGAUUCGAGCAGUUGAUCCAGCAAUUGUCCGAGAACGAUCCCAAUCGAUACGGCACGCCUCCGGCCUCCAAGUCUGCUGUCCAGGCGCUUCCGAGCGUUAAUGUGGACGAGGGAAUGCUGAAAUCGGACUUGGUGCAGUGUGCGGUGUGCAAGGAUGAUUUGGAAUUGGGGACUGUUGUCAAGCAGAUGCCUUGCAAGCAUGUUUAUCACGAUGAUUGCAUUCUGCCCUGGCUGGAGUUGCAUAAUUCGUGCCCUGUGUGUCGCUACGAGCUUCCUACUGAUGAUGCGGACUAUGAGAACAGGAAUGGAGUUUCUCGGGGGGGCAACGGUGGUGAUGGGGAUGCAGCUGGGGGUUCUGAUGGGCAGAGGACCGUGGAGAGGAGGAUGACCAUAUCAUUUCCUUGGCUGUUUGGAGGGUCAGAUUCAGGUCGUGAAGGUGGUGGCCGGAACAAUCAGUGGCGGAGUUAAACGUGUUUCCAUAAGGAUUUCGAUCUAAAGUUAUUGAAUCCAAUUCUAUGCAUAAUUCAGUCUUUAUGAUGUGGAUGAAGUUGAUGAUAGCUUAUUUGCGCUUGAUGGAGAACAAUCUUUGUGCUUGUAACGAAGGAUAGAUAGAGGGAUUACUUGCAUGAUCACAUAAUAACCAUCAGUUUGUUUUUUUUGUUGCAUAAGUAAACUCAGCACGGUUCAUGUCAUUUUUGUACAGUGAAAUCUCUAUAAUCAUGUUAAAGUAUCGAUUUUGGUUAUAUAACUUA
RNA transcript from Salvia splendens (bonfire salvia), 1310 nucleotides. It is a transcript of the gene named E3 ubiquitin-protein ligase RING1-like, with no coding region annotated. The record is from RefSeq and is a predicted model, not a curated record. Lineage: Eukaryota; Viridiplantae; Streptophyta; Magnoliopsida; Lamiales; Lamiaceae. The transcript is spliced from 2 exons.